CGUGAUGACGGCUGACUAAAGGACGUAUUUUUGUCGGGCUCCCGCUCCCACAUUACUAUUAGUUCGUUCUCUUUAGUUUUAUGCGCCCUCAGCAACACAUCGCACAAGCCUGGUGCCGUAAGUUGUAGUAGCUGUCUGACAAACACUUUUUCGAUGUAAAAAUGUCGAAACAAACUUAAUUUCAGACGCGGAAAACGAUGCUAGCAGCCUCUCCUAGCAUACACUCAAGUGUAGCAGCUAACUCUCCAGAGGAAAACAACGAGUCUUCAUCAGCAAUGGACAGAGGAUAAGUUUUCUAAACUUUCUGAGACCUUGGACAGAUUUUCAGCGACCCUGGAGAGCCACUCCAAACGUAUUUCGGAGGCAGAGCAGCGCAUGUCGGGUGCGGAGGAGACGCUGUCCGCUCUGCAGGAAAAAGUUACCAAAGCUGAGAAGAAAAUCAAAGAGAUGGAGGCUGGCUUGGACGAUAUGGAAAACCGGAGCAGACGCGACAAUAUCCGCGUUCUCAACCUGAAGGAGGGCAUUAAAAUCGACCGUCCCCACCAUGGCUUGGGUCCGCAAAGUGCGCGUCCUCGCCCGGUGAUUAUUAAACUCCACAACUCAAGGGACAAACUGAUGAUAAUGUCAGCAUUGCGAAAGAAAUCCACUCUGGAAUACGAAGGACAGCGAAUCCACAUUCAACAGGAUUUCUCUACGGCGGUCCGAGAGAGGCGUCGGGCUUUCAACGGUGUAUGCCAGGCUUUGAUCAACAAGGGGAUCCGCUUCAACAUGCGUUACCCAGCCAUCCUGGUUGUGCACCAUAACGGGACGGAUCACAAGUUUGUAACAUCAAGUGCUGCAGAGGGCUUUCUCGGCACACUGGACUAGAGGCUGCCCGAGGAGGAUCUGAUCAAGUUUGUGAAACAGAGAAGUUUUCCUUUCCCCCCCUUUUUUUUCUGCAUUAUUUGAUCCAUGGGAGUAUGUGACUACAACUGACAGAAUAUUUGACCUGACUGUGAACACUGUUG
Long non-coding RNA from Amphiprion ocellaris (clown anemonefish), 1007 nucleotides. NCBI's taxonomy places the organism in Eukaryota, Metazoa, Chordata, Actinopteri, Pomacentridae. The record is from Ensembl.